UACGGAGGGGGUUAGCGUUGUUCGGAAUUACUGGGCGUAAAGCGCGCGUAGGCGGAUUGGAAAGUUGGGGGGUGAAAUCCCAGGGGCUCAACCCUGGAACUGCCUCCAAAAACUCCCAGUCUUGAGUUCGAGAGAGGUGAGUGGAAUUCCGAGUGUAGAGGUGAAAUUCGUAGAUAUUCGGAGGAACACCAGUGGCGAAGGCGGCUCACUGGCUCGAUACUGACGCUGAGGUGCGAAAAGUGUGGGGGAGCAAAACAGGAUUAGAUACCCCGGGUAGUCC
Molecule: ribosomal RNA, 280 nt
Filed under: uncultured bacterium
Lineage: Bacteria
Description: partial 16S ribosomal RNA
Rfam family: Bacterial small subunit ribosomal RNA
Source: RNAcentral